AGGUGCUGUUGCUGCCCUAGGCACGCCGAGGAACAGAGGAGGGCAGGUAUCUUCUGGGCAGCCUCCGGAGUCAAAUCAAGAUUUGAGGUACCCAGAGGAGCCUCAUAGCCAAAGCUUGGAAACGGCAGCACCGAAGCACACACGGAGAGCAUCUCAAUAUCCACGUGCGACCGAG
Molecule: long non-coding RNA, 175 nt
Organism: Agelaius phoeniceus (red-winged blackbird)
Lineage: Eukaryota; Metazoa; Chordata; Aves; Passeriformes; Icteridae
Source: RefSeq, a predicted model, not a curated record